Molecule: long non-coding RNA, 1619 nt
Organism: Sardina pilchardus (European sardine)
Lineage: Eukaryota; Metazoa; Chordata; Actinopteri; Clupeiformes; Clupeidae
Exons: 3
Source: RefSeq, a predicted model, not a curated record
AUCCGCUAUCUGAUUUGGCCAUGAUGCAUAACUGUACCGUUAUCGGUUACAGCAGGGAUGGACUGCAUUUUACCCCUCCGACAUCUGAGAUAACGGAAUCGCCAGCGCCUGUGACAAGUUAUUCAGCUAAGGUUACCCAUAGCCAGUUAGCUAACCCACCUAUCGUAGCAGCUAUUGCUGUCUUGACGUUCUGUCGGCUUUGGUGGCUAAGUAGAAAAUGUUGGUCAUUAUCAACCGCAGUGGAGCUAUAUUUUUAUGCAAUACAACGUGAGAGACUACAAACAGCCCCAAAUAGACAACUAAGAGCCCAUUCUGUCAAGCAGUUUUCUUAGCAAAACAAUACUUGCUUACAUCCUGACAUGCAACUGCAACACCUAGCUAUAGUGAUUGCUAGUGAGCGUCGCAAGAGGAGGGAACAGAAUUCAACACUUUUCGCUCAUUUGUAACUUUUAUACCUUGUUCAUAUAGCUACUGUUUUAGUUUCCCCAUGUCUCUGCUCCACAAACCCCAGCCUGUGUGUGUGACAUGUAUAGACUGACCAAUGAAACUGUUGCGCAUUUAUUUUGACAACUUCUCAAACGCAAAGGUCUGGGUUGGCCCCAACCCCCAACGUGGUUGCAUCACAUACCACAGAAGUAGGCAGGCCGACACACUAGGUAUCUGUGGACAUGCCCCAGCAGGCAGAAUGCUCGUUAAAAAGGACAUAUUGGGCUUUCAAAUAAGAUGCAACAUUCAACAUUUCAAUCUUUGUGAACUUCUGCACAAAGUUAAAGGAAUACAUGUUCAACAUUCAAUGUCUGGACAUAGCCUGACUCUCGCCAGACCCUUGUAGUUCCGCCAUGCUCCACCAGAGGCGUUUCGCUAAGCUCCACACAAGGGUCUGGACGCGAGGGCAAUCCAAACCCCCGUGCCAGUGAUCAAAAAAUGAGCAGCCAAUCAGGAGCGCCGAAGCGAGUGUUUGAUUCAAAUAACAAUGGCGGCACGCAGCGAGGAGUCUUGUGCUGACAUUGAUUCUGCUAUUUCAACCGUUUUGUCGCAUCUAUCGAGUAUUCAUUCUUUCAGAGAAUAGUUUUGAAGACAUUUAUUGGUGGCAAGGAUGUUUUUACUCUUCUUCCGACCGGGAUUGGCAAGUACUUGAAGAAGCCUAGCACGUCAUUCAAGAUAACAGGCAAGUGGUUUAUCAAAUCACAUGCGAGGAUGUUUUACAAGGACCCGCCUUCAGAAAUACAUCUCCUAUCGAGAAGUCCCAGAUCCUUGUGUGAAGCAGACAGCGAACUACAGGAUCUGGCGAAAGUCAGGUUAGUCUGGACAAUCGUUAUGAGGCAUAGAGAUAGGUAAAGACCUUUUUUUAUAAGUAUAAAAGACUUAUUUGGGAACUGAAAUAAAAUUGAUAUUGUGGAUUUGCAUACAUUUGGAUGGAUUGUUUAUGUAUUACUUAUUUUUUAUUACAAAGGUUAUGUGGCUAUGGUGAAAAGCAAAAUGCCUGCCACGGCCACCAGGAGGGAUGCAUGAUGUUGUUUAAAUGGUAGCUAUCAUAGUAAGCCUUGAUCAUCAAAACAUAGCGGUAGACAUAACCUAUCUGUGCUAUCAUGGACAUUGCUGAGACAAAUACUUGUGCU